RNAcentral lists this ribosomal RNA (234 nucleotides) under uncultured bacterium. RNAcentral describes it as "partial small subunit ribosomal RNA". It matches the Rfam family "Bacterial small subunit ribosomal RNA", at positions 26 to 288 of the family's 1533-position model. The record is from RNAcentral.
AGAGCGAACGCUGGCGGCAGGCCUAAUACAUGCAAGUCGAACGGACCCUUCGGGGUUAGUGGCGGACGGGUGAGUAACACGUGGGAACGUGCCCUUUGGUUCGGAACAACUCAGGGAAACUUGAUCUAAUACCGAAUGUGCCCUUCGGGGGAAAGAUUUAUCGCCAUUGGAGCGGCCCGCGUCUGAUUAGCUUGUUGGCGGGGUAAUGGCCCACCAAGGCGAUGAUCGGUAUCC